AUACGGAGGAUCCGAGCGUUAUCCGGAUUUAUUGGGUUUAAAGGGUGCGCAGGCGGCCAUUUAAGUCAGCGGUUAAAUCGUGGGGCUCAACCCCAUUCUGCCGUUGAUACUGGGUGGCUUGAUUGCGGUCGAGGUUGGCGGUAUUCGUUGUGUAGCGGUGAAAUGCAUAGAUAUGACGAAGAACACCGAUUGCGUAGGCAGCUGACCAGACCGCAAAUGACGCUCAUGCACGAAAGUGCGGGGAUCGAACAGGAUUAGAUACCCUGGUAGUCCGCACAGUAAACGAUGAAUACUUGUUUUCGGCGAUAUAAUGUCGGAGGCAAAGCGAAAGCGAUAAGUAUUCCACCUGGGGAGUACGCCGGCAACGGUGAAACUCAAAUGAAUUGACGGGG
This 392-nucleotide ribosomal RNA is filed under the name uncultured bacterium. RNAcentral's name for it is "partial 16S ribosomal RNA". It matches the Rfam family "Bacterial small subunit ribosomal RNA", at positions 523 to 918 of the family's 1533-position model. The record is from RNAcentral.